UGGGGAUAACUCAGUGGUAGAGAGUUUGCCUCGUGCACCUAAAGGCCCUGGGUUCAAUCUCCAGUACCAUAA
This 72-nucleotide transfer RNA is filed under the name Marmota monax (woodchuck). Its description in RNAcentral is "tRNA.Thr". Lineage: Eukaryota; Metazoa; Chordata; Mammalia; Rodentia; Sciuridae. The record is from RNAcentral.